RNAcentral lists this ribosomal RNA (795 nucleotides) under Dlhawksworthia flavoparmeliae. RNAcentral's name for it is "Hawksworthiana sp. HS-2020a partial large subunit ribosomal RNA". It matches the Rfam family "Eukaryotic large subunit ribosomal RNA", at positions 130 to 944 of the family's 3401-position model. The record is from RNAcentral. Lineage: Eukaryota; Fungi; Ascomycota; Dothideomycetes; Pleosporales; Phaeosphaeriaceae.
UUCAGAGUCCGAGUUGUAAUUUGCAGAGGGCGCUUUGGCGUUGGCAGCGGUCCAAGUUCUUUGGAACAGGACGUCACAGAGGGUGAGAAUCCCGUACGUGGUCGCUAUCCUUCGCCGUGUAAAGCCCCUUCGACGAGUCGAGUUGUUUGGGAAUGCAGCUCUAAAUGGGAGGUAAAUUUCUUCUAAAGCUAAAUAUUGGCCAGAGACCGAUAGCGCACAAGUAGAGUGAUCGAAAGAUGAAAAGCACUUUGGAAAGAGAGUCAAAUAGCACGUGAAAUUGUUGAAAGGGAAGCGCUUGCAGCCAGACUUGCCUGUAGUUGCUUAUCCGGACUCUUGUCCGGUGCACUCUUCUGCGGGCAGGCCAGCAUCAGUUUGGGCGGUUAGAUAAAGGUCUCUGUCACGUACCUCUUUUCGGGGAGGCCUUAUAGGGGAGACGACAUGUAACCAGCCUGGACUGAGGUCCGCGCAUCUGCUAGGAUGCUGGCGUAAUGGCUGUAAGCGGCCCGUCUUGAAACACGGACCAAGGAGUCUAACAUCUAUGCGAGUGUUUGGGUGUCAAGCCCAGACGCGUAAUGAAAGUGAACGGAGGUAGGAACCCUUUGGGUGCACUAUCGACCGAUCCUGAUGUCUUCGGAAGGAUUUGAGUAAGAGCAUGGCUGUUGGGACCCGAAAGAUGGUGAACUAUGCUUGAAUAGGGUGAAGCCAGAGGAAACUCUGGUGGAGGCUCGCAGCGGUUCUGACGUGCAAAUCGAUCGUCAAAUUUGGGCAUAGGGGCGAAAGACUAAUCGAACUAUC